Molecule: ribosomal RNA, 155 nt
Organism: Solea solea (common sole)
Lineage: Eukaryota; Metazoa; Chordata; Actinopteri; Pleuronectiformes; Soleidae
Product: 5.8S ribosomal RNA
Exons: 1
Source: RefSeq, a predicted model, not a curated record
AACUCCUAGCGGUGGAUCGCUCGGCUUGUGCGUCGAUGAAGUUACGCAGCUAGCUGCGAGAACUAAUGUGAAUUGCAGGACACAUUGGUCAUGGACACUUCGAACACACCUUGCGGCUCCGGGUCCCUUCCGGAGCUGCACCUGUCUGAGGGUCG